GACGAACGCUGGCGGCGUGCUUAACACAUGCAAGUCGAACGGUGAAGGGCCCGGUUUUUGCUGGUUCUGGCUUAGUGGCGAACGGGUGAGUAACACGUGAUUAACCUGCCCCCUUCUUCUGGAUAACCGCAUGAAAGUGUUGCUAAUACCGGAUAUUCUGUGCUUUCUGCAUGGUGGGUGUGGGAAAGAUAUUGUUUCCGUGUGGGAUGUGCUCGCGGCCUGUGAGUUUGUUGGUGUGGUGAUGUCCUACCAAGGCGGUGCUCGGUAGCCGGACUGAGAGGGUGGACAGACUGAGUGGGAGUGAGACACAACACAGAGUCGUAAGGGAGACAGCAGGAAGGAAUAGGGAACGAUGGGAGCAAGACUGAUGAAGCGAGGGCGAGUGAGGGAGGGAGGCGUGCGGGUUGUAAACCUCUAUCGCGAGGAAAGGAGGUCUGGCACAUAGGGGGAAGGAUUGACGGUAGCGGGAUAAGAAGCGACGGCUAACUACGUG
Molecule: ribosomal RNA, 493 nt
Filed under: uncultured bacterium
Lineage: Bacteria
Description: partial 16S ribosomal RNA
Rfam family: Bacterial small subunit ribosomal RNA
Source: RNAcentral